Molecule: long non-coding RNA, 2358 nt
Filed under: Haliotis rubra (blacklip abalone)
Lineage: Eukaryota; Metazoa; Mollusca; Gastropoda; Lepetellida; Haliotidae
Description: uncharacterized LOC124280076
Source: RNAcentral
AUGUUAAAUUGAAGUCAACUCGUUCCAUGUUAAACUGAAGUCAACUCGUCCCAUGUUAAAUUGAAGUCAACUCGUCCCAUGUUAAACUGAAGUCAACUCGUCCCAUGUUAAAUUGAAGUCAACUCGUCCCAUGUUAAAUUGAAGUCAACUCGUCCCAUGUUAAACUGAAGUCAACUCGUCGCAUGUUAAAUUGAAGUCAACUCGUCCCAUGUUAAAUUGAAGUCAACUCGUAUUUAAUGCUCAAAUAGCAGUAUGACACUGUCUGUGUAGUUUUGUGGGGAAAGCACAGCUAGUGUACAUCAUAUGAACAGGGACACAAGACUUUAGUAACUGGCUACGACUGCCAGAUUCCCAAGUCGUGCCCCCCUUUACAAUCAAAGCACCAUGUUGUCUCAGGUCAGAUACGUGUGUAGAUGUAUGUGUGUUAACAGCGUCAUCUCAGCAUCCACAAACAUUGAGUUUGAUUUCAUCACCUUAUUGGCAAUGUAUUGCUCAUCGUUGCAGCAAGGUAAAGUAUUGUCUUAGAGUUGGAAGUUCAGCUGUUGAUAGCAAAGUAGGCUGGAAAUAAUUACUCUCCGUUUUGUGGAUUUAAUUGUAUCGAUGAUUUAUUUCUCAAGUAUGGAAUACAAAUUUAAAUGCACAUAAAACAGAAAGCGUUCAGUUAUUGAAUGAAAGAACUUUUCAUUAGAUAAUUAAUGUUUUAGAUUAUUUCAGUCUAAUGCAGUAGUAAAUAUAUCAGCUAGUGGAUAGUUAAAAACACAUGAACUUGUGGAAAGUAAGGCAUGUCCGCUUGUGGAAAGUGUGACAUGUCAGUCAGUGAAUAGUGGGAUAUAACAACCUGUGGAUAGUGUGACAUGUCAGUAAGUGAAUAGUGGGAUAUAACAACCUGUGGAUAGUGUGACAUGUCAGUAAGUGAAUAGUGGGAUAUAACAACCUGUGGAUCGUGAGACAUGUCAUUCAGUGAAUAGUGGCAUAUAUCAACCUGUUGAUAGUGAGACAUGUCAGUAAGUGAAUAGUGGCAUAUAUCAACCUGUGAAUAGUUGGACAUGUCAGUUAAUAGCGGAACAUGUCAAAUAGAUGAUUGUUAGACAUGUCAGCUAGUGAAUAUACAGAGGAUGGUAGCCUUGUGGUAUACGACGGGCAUGAACACAAUAUUUGAAACUGUGUUUCACGGCCGUGAUUGUGCUGAAAUAUUGACCAAGGCGUCGAGGAAUCUGACUCGCUGACUCACGUUUUACUUUUGAUCACGUGACCGAGACACAUUACACGUGACAGUGAGCUACGAGGUAUAAUAAGGCACUAUGGUUCACGGAAAUGUUAAAAAUGUAAUACAACAUUGUAUAAUAACUGCCAAUUCCAUCACUUGCCAGGUUUUGACUUGAUGUCAAACACAGAAGUAUUGCCCAAAUGAACCCUUCUGAUGACCCUCAGGAGAAUGUCUAAAUGUGUUCAUUAGUGAUCAGAUAAUAUUCAGUUUUAGUGGACCAAAAUCAUAUCAUAAACUGUAUCAUAGGUCGUCCCUUCUAAUCCACUGCCGCGAUGCUGGCUCUAUCGUAUACUGAGAGAAAUAAAAAAAGGAACACAGGGAAUUUUCCAGUUCAUCACCAGCUUUGAUUAGCGCUGUGGGAGGAAUUCUGAGAAUACAUAAACACUGACAUGAAGCGAUGUUCCGUUAUUUGUUUCCCUCAGUAUAUAUGUUUUUAGUGGUUUACUAAUAACACAGAAAUGUCCCCUUGACAGUGUCAUGAACACUGUUGGUUAGGAUUGGCUUACAUGAUCGAUAAUCGGAAAUAUCGUCGAUAGGAAAAAUAUGAUUAAUCAUUGAUUCGAUGUGAAAUUUGUAUUAUCGAUAAUAUCGUACAUUAACAUUUGUAAUAGAAAAAAGGUUUUAAUUUUCUCACACAUAUGCAACUUUAGAACUUUAUGUAUGGUCUGCUUCUAAAUUAUGUUCAGGACACUGUUUUGUAAAUAAUCCAUUGCAAAACAUGCCACCACACACAAGUGAUGUAAAUAUAUAUUAAUUAAUUUAAGAUAUUUUUGGUAUUUUACGUUUCCGAUAUGUAUCGAUAAUCGAUCGAUAUUUAGUAAAUGAUUAUCUAUGAUCUAUAUCGAUAGCCAGUCCUACUGUUGCUUGCUCAGGACGUCAGGGACUCACUGCCAUAUCUUGUUCAGUAUUGGGUUUUACGUAUUUUCAAGAAAUGUUGGUGUCUUGUGCUACGAACUGUGGCUUUGUGUUCUUUGCUUGUACAUGUUCAUAUAAACGUACCGUAAUAUUCAUAUGAGCAGUUUUUGCUCUGAUGAUGUAUAAAUAAUAUAAUCCAUAUGCAACUGACUUCGUCAAUAAAAGAAGACUGAUGA